RNAcentral lists this ribosomal RNA (304 nucleotides) under uncultured bacterium. RNAcentral describes it as "bacterial SSU rRNA". It matches the Rfam family "Bacterial small subunit ribosomal RNA", at positions 30 to 334 of the family's 1533-position model. The record is from RNAcentral.
AUUGAACGCUGGCGGCAUGCCUUACACAUGCAAGUCGAACGGCAGCACGGACUUCGGUCUGGUGGCGAGUGGCGAACGGGUGAGUAAUACAUCGGAACGUGCCUAGUAGUGGGGGAUAACUACUCGAAAGAGUGGCUAAUACCGCAUGAGAUCUACGGAUGAAAGCAGGGGAUCGCAAGACCUUGUGCUACUAGAGCGGCCGAUGGCAGAUUAGGUAGUUGGUGAGGUAAGGGCUCACCAAGGCGACGAUCCGUAGCUGGUUUGAGAGGACGACCAGCCACACUGGGACUGAGACACGGCCCAG